Long non-coding RNA from Gorilla gorilla gorilla (western lowland gorilla), 580 nucleotides. RefSeq lists it as uncharacterized. NCBI's taxonomy places the organism in Eukaryota, Metazoa, Chordata, Mammalia, Primates, Hominidae. The record is from RefSeq and is a predicted model, not a curated record. The transcript has 3 exons.
AAAGAUAUUCAGAGUAUUUCGUGGGGCUCGGGGCCCUGCAGGAUUGCCCCUAGUUUUCAUUUGCAAAUAUAAAGAAAUGAAUGGAAUUAGAGAUUGGAAUGACAGCUCAGAUACUUGAAAGCAUGAGUUGGAGCUGAUGUGAAAAUAGAGGGUUUUAAGUGCCUAAAGUGAGGGAGAGAAAAGGAGACAGUAUUUAAGGAAUUUAAGAUCUUGAAGUGGAAAAGGCCUAGAAGAGCCAUAACUGCUGAGUCUUGGAAAGAAAAUGAAACAGAGUGUCUGCAUGCAAUUUCCUUAAGAUCCUGCUCUAUAGCCUGAUGAUUCAUAGUAAUUCAAAACCCCAACAGAGAGAGAAUCUUCGUUUUCGGGAUUUCCCAGUCUUGGAAGGCAGCCAUCAAACACAUGAUUGUUUUUGAGUAAAUUUUUGUACUUCUUACUACAAUAAAAUAUAUUUAUAAUAAAAAUUUUAAGGAAGAUGCUGCUUUAUAGUUAGCAGAUUAAUUGUGAAAUUAUGAGUUAUAUCAUUGAUGACUUGGAAAAGAUAAAAAUAGAGAUUUGGAAAUUUUGUGAAAACUUAAAUAGG